GGCUCAGGAUGAACGCUAGCUACAGGCUUAACACAUGCAAGUCGAGGGGAAACGAUAGAGAAAGCUUGCUUUUCUAGGCGUCGACCGGCGCACGGGUGAGUAACGCGUAUCCAACCUGCCCAUCACUUGGGGAUAACCUUGCGAAAGUAAGACUAAUACCCAAUGAUAUCUCUAGAAGACAUCUGAAAGAGAUUAAAGAUUUAUCGGUGAUGGAUGGGGAUGCGUCUGAUUAGCUUGUUGGCGGGUAACGGCCCACCAAGGCGACGAUCAGUAGGGGUUCUGAGAGGAAGGUCCCCCACAUUGGAACUGAGACACGGUCCAAACUCCUACGGGAGGCAGCAGUGAGGAAUAUUGGUCAAUGGACGAGAGUCUGAACCAGCCAAGUAGCGUGCAGGAUGACGGCCCUAUGGGUUGUAAACUGCUUUUAUAAGGGAAUAAAGUGAGUCUCGUGAGACUUUUUGCAUGUACCUUAUGAAUAAGGACCGGCUAAUUCCGUG
Molecule: ribosomal RNA, 497 nt
Filed under: uncultured bacterium
Lineage: Bacteria
Description: bacterial SSU rRNA
Rfam family: Bacterial small subunit ribosomal RNA
Source: RNAcentral